GACAAUGGAUGAAAAUCCUCUUCAGAACAACAAACUUUUUAAGCAAAAAUAUAGCAUUAGUAUGUGCCUUUAGGUAUAUCUUAAAAGGGAGGAACAAAAAUAGAGCAUGAGUUUCAUAACCAAAAGGCUACAAUCCACACUGCUCAUGUGUUGACAUAUUUUCUCAAAUAUAUACACCCAAAGUCUUCAUACUACUAGUCAUAAUAGAUUCAUAUGGGCAUUACUACAAAAAAAAAACAGAAAUUUUAACAUAAAAACUAGAUCCGAAUACACAUAACCUUAACAACAAAAAAAAGGAUUGAGAAUGUUAUAGCAUAUCCCUCACGGAGGCAAAAAUAGGACACACAAAGAAAGAAAAAGAAGACAAAGAAAGGAAAAAUUCUCAUGUUACAAGGAAGUGAAUUAGAGGACUUAAGAUCGCAAAACCAUAAUCAAACUUUAUGAUUUCUUACUCAAAUCGUACAAAGAAUAUCAAAAUUCAAAGAAAAAUGGAAGGACCGAACAUUUGUGAAAAAAAGUUGUUUGUUAUGUAUUGAAGCUUAGAAUUUAUGGGUUCCUUCAACUACCCCCCAAGGCUCCCUUAUCUCCUCGUAUAUAUAGUGCGAAGGGUUUUUGGGUGGGAUUUUGGGUACCAUUUGAAUUUGAACGUUUGAGAGAUGAAAGCCAGCUUACAUAAUUUUGCUCUCUAAUUUUUCUUGCCUUGACUAAACUCUUUAUUCUUUGGUCAAGGUUGCAAUCAAGAUUUUCUCAAAAUGGUGUGCCUCCUGCUGCUACGAGGCGAUUUGAAUAGAUUUGCAGUGCAAAAUGGAAGUCGUCUGCACCAAAAUUGAGAAGAAGAAGAGAGAUUGUUUAUUUAAAAUGAGGCACACAAUUUUUUUGAUAAAUAAGAUUUUGAGUUCAAAAUUGCCUCAAAAUGGGAGGAAAUGACAAAACUCCCCUGCCAUAGCUGGAGUAAGAUAGAGACAAGAGAGAAUAAGAAUAAGGUGUGGCUGUGGAAUCUUUACGAUAUUCUAGGGCUUCAAGGUUAUC
Molecule: long non-coding RNA, 1029 nt
Filed under: Capsicum annuum
Lineage: Eukaryota; Viridiplantae; Streptophyta; Magnoliopsida; Solanales; Solanaceae
Description: long non-coding RNA (CANN_LNC016024)
Source: RNAcentral